UACGUAGGGGGCAAGCGUUGUCCGGAAUCAUUGGGCGUAAAGCGCGUGUAGGCGGCUCGGUAAGUCCGCUCUGAAAGCCCGGGGCUCAACCCCGGGAGGCGGGCGGAUACUGUCGAGCUAGAGUCCGGAAGAGGCGAGUGGAAUUCCUGGUGUAGCGGUGAAAUGCGCAGAUAUCAGGAGGAACACCAAUGGCGAAGGCAGCUCGCUGGGACGGUACUGACGCUGAGACGCGAAAGCGUGGGGAGCAAACAGG
Molecule: ribosomal RNA, 253 nt
Filed under: uncultured bacterium
Lineage: Bacteria
Description: partial 16S ribosomal RNA
Rfam family: Bacterial small subunit ribosomal RNA
Source: RNAcentral